Molecule: long non-coding RNA, 567 nt
Filed under: Pan paniscus (pygmy chimpanzee)
Lineage: Eukaryota; Metazoa; Chordata; Mammalia; Primates; Hominidae
Description: lncRNA (ENSPPAG00000045035.1)
Source: RNAcentral
GGGAGUUUCUCGCCGGCCGCUGCCCGCUGCUCCGCACCCGGGGCCGUCCGCGGAGGUCCCGCCCGUCCCCUCCCGCUGCUGGCUCUCUGGCCGCGGGAAGGCCGGACCUGUCGUGGCUUGCACCGGGAUCUGCGCCCUCCUGCCGGAGGCUGGCUCUCGCCUCUCCUCCCUUCCUCGGUUCUGCGCCGCCACCCCUCACCCACGCCGCUGAUUCUCCCUCCCUUUGCACACUCCCGUGGGACAGGGAGAGUUACAGGCUUAAGACUUCAUCUCAUUGUGGAAAGCAAGAGACCAAGCCAAAAACUUUGGUCGUGCUUUUCAACAUCUCUGGUCAAAAGAGGUCGCCAAUCUGGUUUUCUCCCAUUGCUGCGUGUUAGAGGGGUGUGGUGCCAUGUACGUAUUAAAAAUUGUCUUCUUGCUUUCCUUCAUUUAAGGGCGUGGUGGGGCUUGCUAUUGAAUUUACAAAAUAUGCUACGACCAUCCGCUGUCAAAUUGUGCAUACAUAAAUUUACAGAUCUUCUACUAUUCUCACAAUUUUUGCCCUAAUACAGAGUCUAUAAUGUUACC